Molecule: ribosomal RNA, 305 nt
Filed under: uncultured bacterium
Lineage: Bacteria
Description: bacterial SSU rRNA
Rfam family: Bacterial small subunit ribosomal RNA
Source: RNAcentral
UCCUACGGGACGCAGCAGUGAGGAAUAUUGGUCAAUGGUCGGGAGACUGAACCAGCCAAGCCGCGUGAGGGAUGAAGGUACAGAGUAUCGUAAACCUCUUUUGUCAGGGAACAAAGGCGGGGACGUGUCCUCGGAUGAGUGUACCUGAAGAAAAAGCAUCGGCUAACUCCGUGCCAGCAGCCGCGGUAAUACGGAGGAUGCGAGCGCUAUCCGGAUUUAUUGGGUUUAAAGGGUGCGCAGGCGGUCUGUUAAGUCAGCGGUCAAAGCCCGGGGCGCAACCCCGGCCCGCCGUUGAAGCUGGCAGG